CAUGGAACACGGGAGAGCAUACGUACCCAAGUGUGUGGCAUGAUCGAACCAUUGCUCGCCAUUGCUUGCAGCUGUCCCCAAGACAGCUGCUGCAGAGAAGCCACAGUGAAGAAAUGACUCCUCCUAUCAAAGACCCCAUCAAAGAGCUAACUCUUGCCCAACUUGGAGCAGGAGGGAGCACACGCUGAUUGGAACUGAGAACACAGACUUCCAGGCCCCCAAACUCUAAGAGCCAUGGUCACGGAGAGAAAAGUCACUUGGGGAUUUGGGGUGGUACCAGUGGGGCAAACGGAUUAGACAGAAGUGACCUCCAUGGUAACUAAUUCCCCCAAGACUGUUCCCAUAGCAAACCGAACCACUGCACGUCUACAGAAGGGGCAUCUCAGUGAUCAGGAGUACGGUCCAAGGCUUGGGAUUACAGGAGCUAAAAGGAGUGUAACCUGCCUGAGUCUGGUGUUCUAGAAAGAAUCACUAACUGGGUGCAGUUCUCAUUGCACAAUGUGGGACCAGUCCUUCUCAGCAAACCUUUCUGUUACCCUUCGAAGAGCUCCGGGUAUUUGUGGUGAGGGGAGCCAAGUAGGUAGACUCUAUCUGUAAGCUUGAUGAUACUAUUCUCACGAUAGGCUAAGUGAAGCAGCCCCCACUUCCUACUCUUUGUUGGGAAAAAAGACAUCUGAGGUAGGUUGGUUCCUCUCUGGGAGUGCUUCUUAGGACACCAGCUGCCAGAACAAUUCCUGGCUCCUUUCCAGCACUCAAGAAAUGUUCAUGGUAUCGUUCUUCCAUAGGAUGCAUGGCCAUCCACACCCAGGAAGACUGACACUCAAGCCUAAUAUCUGUGUCCAACUCCUUAGAGAAGGACUCCUUCUGGAAGCAGCCUGGACCCAAAGCCUUCAACAGCACCAAGGUUCCAGGCCCCAGCACAUCUUAAAGGAGACGGCCCAGGACCCAGGACUUCUGGAACUCAGCCCAGGAGUCAGCAGGGGCAAUCUAGACCUUUCUGGGUCUAUGGCCUCCUUGCCCCAUGUCCCAUGCCCCAUUGCUUCUAUCCCAGCUCUCUGGACCCAGUUGACAAGGGACAGCUUUUCCUUCAGUUCCUGAGUGUCACAGCUGCUCCGGAUACUGGGCCAGGAUCUAGGGAUCGAAAAAGGCUUAAGACUCAGUCCUUGCCCCCAAAAUGCUAUCCUAGCACCUGUAAAUAGGUGUGAAUGGGAACAGAAAGUACAGAGUAGGAGCAAAUGUUGAAAGAACAGGAGCUGAAGUCAUGAAGGACCCCGAAUGUCAAGCUAAGGGACUCUUUGUCCCACAUUCAGGGACCAGAGACAAUCUCGAAGGUUGACUAAGUGGGGAAGGGAUAGGACCAGGUGCGCCCAGGCAGAGAGGGAAAGAGGGGUCCCACGCUCCCUGAGACAUGGCUCCCUAGCCACCAGAAAUGCCAAAGGGCAUGCCAGCUUCUCCCCCCCCGCCCCCCCAGAGUCCAGGUGCCAGGCUGGCUUUGCCCUUGCUCUCUGGCUUACUUUAACCCCAGGCCCCUCACCCUUCUUGCCAGCAUGACCAGGGGAUUUGGAUCAUCUUGUUGAAGACCCAGAAGUCUCCUAGACAUCACAGUAAUGCAAAUGUUAGAUCACUGGCUUGGAGACAGGUAAGAACACUGAGGUUAUGUGAUUAAGCCAGAGCUGCACGACUGGAAAUGGAAUCACCAGCACCCAACUCAGGAUGCCUGCCUCCAAGUCCUGCACUCUUUCUAGUGCCCCAAACUACCUCUCGAUCUCCCUGAGGAAGUCUUGCUAGCUCCCCACACUGCCUCUCCUCUCCCUGAAGAAAUCCUUGCAGUGGCUUUGCAGAGCUCCUCUCUGAAAAGCACAGGAGCAGAGAAGUCCAGAGUUUGAAAGGACCUGCUGCAUUCCCACACAAGGCAAGAACCCCUCCCACGGUAUUCGUGGCGGACGCACACGUCCUGUUUCCCGGAAAGGGGAAGUGCGGUGGCCCAAUAUUAACAAGGCCGUGAUGGAGUGGAUUAUCUAGGUGGCAUUCGCCACUAAAUCAUAAGGAAAACCCAUCUAUGGAACAAGAAAACCAGCACUGGUUAAUUCAGAGGCUCCAUGAUGUCAUCGGGGACCCAGGUUCUUUCCCGCAUUCGGCUCUGUCACCCUUAGGAGAUAAUGAAUUUUCCUCAGGUCAGAUUCGCUGGGGAGUUAUUUCUGGAAUCCAGCAAUUCCUCCAUUUUGAAUGCCAGACCUUUGUUAUCACCAGCCUUCUGGAGCUGCCUCAGGAUGAUAUAAAGAACCUGUUCUAAGAUGCCACGGGUGAAAAUAAAAGACAUUUGUUAGCCAGCUGUGCUCAGAAGUGUCCUUCCUGACGCAUCAGGUGGUUCAGGACAUGAGCACAGCUCCACUAUGAACCCAUGCUCCUCCU
This is a long non-coding RNA of Prionailurus viverrinus (fishing cat), 2412 nucleotides long. RefSeq lists it as uncharacterized. NCBI's taxonomy places the organism in Eukaryota, Metazoa, Chordata, Mammalia, Carnivora, Felidae. The transcript has 3 exons. The record is from RefSeq and is a predicted model, not a curated record.